Long non-coding RNA from Chinchilla lanigera (long-tailed chinchilla), 1066 nucleotides. RefSeq lists it as uncharacterized. The transcript is spliced from 4 exons. The record is from RefSeq and is a predicted model, not a curated record. Lineage: Eukaryota; Metazoa; Chordata; Mammalia; Rodentia; Chinchillidae.
GCAGCUGGUCAGGCUGAAGGACGACUUCCUGUGCGGCGGCUGGAAGCAGCGGUUGCAGAACACCCAGCUGGCCAUGCCGGGUCAGACUGCAGAGGGCUACGGGAGCAUAGAGACAGCAGGACGGACGCACCUCUUCUGUCCUCAAUGCCUUUAAACUGGUGCCCAUGUUAAAUCCAAGCAAUGACCGCAUUGGGCCACCCACUCUUCUACCUAUCUCCAUAGCCUGUUCCCUGGGCCUACACACACCUGUUCUCCAGGCACACCUGCCCGCCUGGGUCCUGGUCAGCAGGUGCCACCCCAUGCUGUGCUCUCACGGCCUCCUGCGUCCUGCAGUUACUGCCAUUUGGCAGGCUGGGCCAUCACUGUUUGAAAUAGAACACUGAAAUGCAAUGGCCAAGAUGAACUGAAAGGAGAAUUCAGCGCUACUCAAUGUUAGGUUAAAUGGGAUAUAAAAAUGUGUGAUCAGAGCUUGUAAAGAAUACCUCUAGAUUUAGCUGCUGCUGCUCUUCUUGCAUUAAAGAAGAUAGAUAAUCUGAUGCUGAUUCUGCUUGAAUGUUGGGUAUCUUACUGGAUUUCCCACACGAUUCUGAAACUGGUGGAGCUUAUCUCUUUCUCAGAGGUGCACAAAGGUGCACAAAGCACAGGAAAUGUGCAGACAUCGCCGUGGCCACAUGGGCACUCUGGUCUGAAGAUCUCACAUAUUUCAGCCUCCAGCCCCAAUUAAUAUGCUGAAUGGCAUCAGAGAUUGUUAUGCUUAAGGAUAACUGAUGACCAGAACCACAAAUCAAGCUUGGAUUCUGGUCCAAGCCAGGCUUCCUGCUUUAUAAAUAUACAAGUCACUCACUCACAAGGCUGUUUUCACAUCAGCUUUGCAUAACUUGGUAAGCUAUCAAGAGAUGACCAUACAGUAUUAUGUUCACUGCCAAAUAGUACCGAGUCCAGGAGAUCAGCAUAAUACCAUAGAAAGACAUCUGGAUUCAUCAUUCAACAAGGCACAUCUCUGUCAAUGAGUCCUUGAUUGAUCAAUAUUGCAUGUCUCUGUUUUCAUGAGAAACCACUUUGAAGA